AUGUCUCUCUUAUGCUUUCGAAAGCAACGGUUCCCACUGAUCCACGUCGUUGCAUGAUAGUGGUUCCUAUAAUCACAUGCGUUGCCGUGGACUGUCUUACUUUAUUUCUUAAUAUAUAGAGUCUAUAUCAAUCCUAUUAUUUCUUUUUUAUAUUCAGCCAAGAGUAAACCCAAGAUGCCAUUAACGAUGAUGAAGCCUUUUUACAUGAAAGUGUUGAAGAUCACGAUUCUCCACCACUACAUCAUCAACAAAGCAUGAGAGCUUUUACGUCUCAAGA
Long non-coding RNA from Arabidopsis thaliana (thale cress), 277 nucleotides. RefSeq annotates it as other RNA. The record is from RefSeq. Lineage: Eukaryota; Viridiplantae; Streptophyta; Magnoliopsida; Brassicales; Brassicaceae. The transcript has a single exon.